GUCUACAGCCAUGCUAUCCUGAACAAGCUGGAUCCCAUCUGAUCUUGGAAUCUAAGCACGAUUGGGCUUGGUUAGUACUUGAAUGAGAGACCACCUAGGAAGACCAGGUGCUGUACGGG
This 119-nucleotide ribosomal RNA is filed under the name Pteropus vampyrus (large flying fox). The record is from RNAcentral. Lineage: Eukaryota; Metazoa; Chordata; Mammalia; Chiroptera; Pteropodidae.